GACGAACCGAGCGAACGUUGUUCGGAAUCACUGGGCUUAAAGGGCGCGUAGGCGGGUGAUCACGUCCGGGGUGAAAUCCUCCAGCUCCACUGGAGAACUGCCUCGGAUACUGGUUGCCACGAGGAAGGUAGGGGUGUGUGGAACGUUCAGUGGAGCGGUGAAAUGCAUUGAUAUUGAACGGAACUCCGGUGGCGAAGGCGACACACUGGACCUUUUCUGACGCUGAGGCGCGAAAGCUAGGGGAGCAAACGGG
This 253-nucleotide ribosomal RNA is filed under the name uncultured bacterium. RNAcentral describes it as "partial 16S ribosomal RNA". It matches the Rfam family "Bacterial small subunit ribosomal RNA", at positions 524 to 776 of the family's 1533-position model. The record is from RNAcentral.